This 88-nucleotide transfer RNA is filed under the name Candidatus Aenigmatarchaeota archaeon. RNAcentral's name for it is "tRNA-Thr". It matches the Rfam family "tRNA". Rfam says of the family: Transfer RNA (tRNA) molecules are approximately 80 nucleotides in length. Lineage: Archaea; Nanobdellati; Candidatus Aenigmatarchaeota. The record is from RNAcentral.
GCCUCAGUAGCUCAAUUGGCUGAGCAAUCGCUUCGUAAGCGAUAGAUAAGUCCGCUAAAGGUUAUGGGUUCAAAUCCCAUCUGAGGCU